RNAcentral lists this ribosomal RNA (304 nucleotides) under uncultured Lactobacillus sp. Its description in RNAcentral is "bacterial SSU rRNA". It matches the Rfam family "Bacterial small subunit ribosomal RNA", at positions 230 to 525 of the family's 1533-position model. Lineage: Bacteria; Bacillati; Bacillota; Bacilli; Lactobacillales; Lactobacillaceae. The record is from RNAcentral.
GCCGCGUGCAUUAGCUAGUUGGUAAGGUAAACGGCUUACCAAGGCGAUGAUGCAUAGCCGAGUUGAGAGACUGAUCGGCCACAUUGGGACUGAGACACGGCCCAAACUCCUACGGGAGGCAGCAGUAGGGAAUUUUCCACAAUGGACGCAAGUCUGAUGGAGCAACGCCGCGUGAGUGAAGAAGGUUUUCGGUAUCGUAAAGCUCUGUUGUUGGUGAAGAAGGAUAGAGGUAGUAACUGGCCUUUAUUUGACGGUAAUCAACCAGAAAGUCACGGCUAACUACGUGCCAGCAGCCGCGGUAAAU